This is a non-coding RNA of Acanthosepion pharaonis, 108 nucleotides long. The record is from the annotation of a GenBank genome assembly. Lineage: Eukaryota; Metazoa; Mollusca; Cephalopoda; Sepiida; Sepiidae.
UUACGGCCAUAUCGCGUUGAAACGCCCCUACGAUCACCAAAGUUAAGCAACGUCGAGCCUGGUUGGUACCUAGAUGGGUGACCACUUAGGAAUACCAGGUGAUGUAAG